AGGAGAAGGAGAAGCUGGAUGAGGACGAGCUUGGUGAGGAUGCGCUGUCGGUCGUUUCAGAUGACUUGCGACAACCUCGAGGACUCCUGGACUCGCCGGACGAACUUCUCUCGCCAAUCUUCUACCAAGUGUACGAGAU
This 139-nucleotide unclassified non-coding RNA is filed under the name Rhodotorula toruloides. The record is from RNAcentral. Lineage: Eukaryota; Fungi; Basidiomycota; Microbotryomycetes; Sporidiobolales; Sporidiobolaceae.